This 484-nucleotide ribosomal RNA is filed under the name uncultured bacterium. RNAcentral's name for it is "partial 16S ribosomal RNA". It matches the Rfam family "Bacterial small subunit ribosomal RNA", at positions 29 to 523 of the family's 1533-position model. The record is from RNAcentral.
AGUGAACGCUGGCGGCGUGCUUAACACAUGCAAGUCGAACGAGAACGGAUUAUAGCUUGCUAUAAUUGUCAGCUAAGUGGCGCACGGGUGAGUAAUGUAUAGGUAAUAUGCCUCUUACUAAGGGAUAACAAAUGGAAACGUUUGCUAAUACCUUAUACUCCUUAUUAACAUAAGUUAAUAAGGGAAAGAUUUAUUGGUAAGAGAUUAGCCUGUAUUGUAUCAGUUAGUUGGUGGGGUAAUGGCUUACAAAGACUAUGACACAUAACUGGUUUGAGAGGAUGAUCAGUCACACUGGAACUGAGACACGGUCCAGACUCCUACGGGAGGCAGCAGUGGGGAAUAUUGCACAAUGGACGGAAGUCUGAUGCAGCAACGCCGCGUGGAGGAUGACACAUCUCGGUGCGUAAACUCCUUUUAUAUGAGAAGAUAAUGACGGUAUUAUAUGAAUAAGCACCGACUAACUCCGUGCCAGCCGCCGCCGUAA